CAAGUUCAAACAAAAAGUGUUCAAAUCUAGAAUAUGGCAGGUGCCAUCUUCCAAUCAACAAGGCGUUGAAACCUUUCCCAAAGAAGUCAGGGACGAGAUAACUUGAGACAGUACAUUCCUGGAUUUAAGGAAGGCUGGUGUUAUUUGCCAUCAAUCAAGGCCAGAUAAGUAUCCUAGAGAAUGGAAUUCAGCAAGAAAGUUCUAGACUAAGUGAGGAUCCUUCUCUACGUUGAGGACAUUGAGUCACUACAGAUGUUUGGAGAAGAAUGGAUACUACUAGGGCAUUUUCUAGUUUUGGAUCAUGCUUUAGCUGCACUUCCACAAAC
Stylophora pistillata is the source of this 326-nucleotide long non-coding RNA. RefSeq lists it as uncharacterized. The record is from RefSeq and is a predicted model, not a curated record. Lineage: Eukaryota; Metazoa; Cnidaria; Anthozoa; Scleractinia; Pocilloporidae.